GGUUAAGCGACUAAGCGUACACGGUGGAUGCCCUGGCAGUCAGAGGCGAUGAAGGACGUGCUAAUCUGCGAUAAGCGUCGGUAAGGUGAUAUGAACCGUUAUAACCGGCGAUUUCCGAAUGGGGAAACCCAGUGUGUUUCGACACACUAUCAUUAACUGAAUCCAUAGGUUAAUGAGGCGAACCGGGGGAACUGAAACAUCUAAGUACCCCGAGGAAAAGAAAUCAACCGAGAUUCCCCCAGUAGCGGCGAGCGAACGGGGAGGAGCCCAGAGCCUGAAUCAGUGUGUGUGUUAGUGGAAGCGUCUGGAAAGGCGCGCGAUACAGGGUGACAGCCCCGUACACAAAAAUGCACAUGCUGUGAGCUCGAUGAGUAGGGCGGGACACGUGGUAUCCUGUCUGAAUAUGGGGGGACCAUCCUCCAAGGCUAAAUACUCCUGACUGACCGAUAGUGAACCAGUACCGUGAGGGAAAGGCGAAAAGAACCCCGGCGAGGGGGAGUGAAAAGAACCUGAAACCGUGUACGUACAAGCAGUGGGAGCCUCUUUUAUGGGGUGACUGCGUACCUUUUGUAUAAUGGGUCAGCGACUUAUAUUCUGUAGCAAGGUUAACCGAAUAGGGGGAGCCGAAGGGAAACCGAGUCUUAACCGGGCGUUAAGUUGCAGGGUAUAGACCCGAAACCCGGUGAUCUAGCCAUGGGCAGGUUGAAGGUUGGGUAACACUAACUGGAGGACCGAACCGACUAAUGUUGAAAAAUUAGCGGAUGACUUGUGGCUGGGGGUGAAAGGCCAAUCAAACCGGGAGAUAGCUGGUUCUCCCCGAAAGCUAUUUAGGUAGCGCCUCGUGAAUUCAUCUCCGGGGGUAGAGCACUGUUUCGGCAAGGGGGUCAUCCCGACUUACCAACCCGAUGCAAACUGCGAAUACCGGAGAAUGUUAUCACGGGAGACACACGGCGGGUGCUAACGUCCGUCGUGAAGAGGGAAACAACCCAGACCGCCAGCUAAGGUCCCAAAGUCAUGGUUAAGUGGGAAACGAUGUGGGAAGGCCCAGACAGCCAGGAUGUUGGCUUAGAAGCAGCCAUCAUUUAAAGAAAGCGUAAUAGCUCACUGGUCGAGUCGGCCUGCGCGGAAGAUGUAACGGGGCUAAACCAUGCACCGAAGCUGCGGCAGCGACACUGUGUGUUGUUGGGUAGGGGAGCGUUCUGUAAGCCUGUGAAGGUGUACUGUGAGGUAUGCUGGAGGUAUCAGAAGUGCGAAUGCUGACAUAAGUAACGAUAAAGCGGGUGAAAAGCCCGCUCGCCGGAAGACCAAGGGUUCCUGUCCAACGUUAAUCGGGGCAGGGUGAGUCGACCCCUAAGGCGAGGCCGAAAGGCGUAGUCGAUGGGAAACAGGUUAAUAUUCCUGUACUUGGUGUUACUGCGAAGGGGGGGACGGAGAAGGCUAUGUUGGCCGGGCGACGGUUGUCCCGGUUUAAGCGUGUAGGCUGGUUUUCCAGGCAAAUCCGGAAAAUCAAGGCUGAGGCGUGAUGACGAGGCACUACGGUGCUGAAGCAACAAAUGCCCUGCUUCCAGGAAAAGCCUCUAAGCAUCAGGUAACAUCAAAUCGUACCCCAAACCGACACAGGUGGUCAGGUAGAGAAUACCAAGGCGCUUGAGAGAACUCGGGUGAAGGAACUAGGCAAAAUGGUGCCGUAACUUCGGGAGAAGGCACGCUGAUAUGUAGGUGAAGUCCCUCGCGGAUGGAGCUGAAAUCAGUCGAAGAUACCAGCUGGCUGCAACUGUUUAUUAAAAACACAGCACUGUGCAAACACGAAAGUGGACGUAUACGGUGUGACGCCUGCCCGGUGCCGGAAGGUUAAUUGAUGGGGUCAGCGCAAGCGAAGCUCUUGAUCGAAGCCCCGGUAAACGGCGGCCGUAACUAUAACGGUCCUAAGGUAGCGAAAUUCCUUGUCGGGUAAGUUCCGACCUGCACGAAUGGCGUAAUGAUGGCCAGGCUGUCUCCACCCGAGACUCAGUGAAAUUGAACUCGCUGUGAAGAUGCAGUGUACCCGCGGCAAGACGGAAAGACCCCGUGAACCUUUACUAUAGCUUGACACUGAACAUUGAGCCUUGAUGUGUAGGAUAGGUGGGAGGCUUUGAAGUGUGGACGCCAGUCUGCAUGGAGCCGACCUUGAAAUACCACCCUUUAAUGUUUGAUGUUCUAACGUGGACCCGUGAUCCGGGUUGCGGACAGUGUCUGGUGGGUAGUUUGACUGGGGCGGUCUCCUCCUAAAGAGUAACGGAGGAGCACGAAGGUUGGCUAAUCCUGGUCGGACAUCAGGAGGUUAGUGCAAUGGCAUAAGCCAGCUUGACUGCGAGCGUGACGGCGCGAGCAGGUGCGAAAAGCAGGUCAUAGUGAUCCGGUGGUUCUGAAUGGAAGGGCCAUCGCUCAACGGAUAAAAGGUACUCCGGGGAUAACAGGCUGAUACCGCCCAAGAGUUCAUAUCGACGGCGGUGUUUGGCACCUCGAUGUCGGCUCAUCACAUCCUGGGGCUGAAGUAGGUCCCAAGGGUAUGGCUGUUCGCCAUUUAAAGUGGUACGCGAGCUGGGUUUAGAACGUCGUGAGACAGUUCGGUCCCCUAUCUGCCGUGGGCGCUGGAGAACUGAGGGGGCUGCUCCUAGUACGAGAGGACCGGAGUGGACGCAUCACUGGUGUUCGGGUUGUCAUGCCAAUGGCACUGCCCGGUAGCUAAAUGCGGAAGAGAUAAGUGCUGAAAGCAUCUAAGCACGAAACUUGCCCCGAGAUGAGUUCUCCCUGACCCUUUAAGGGUCCUGAAGGAACGUUGAAGACGACGACGUUGAUAGGCCGGGUGUGUAAGCGCAGCGAUGCGUUGAGCUAACCGGUACUAAUGAACCGUGAGGCUUAACCUU
RNAcentral lists this ribosomal RNA (2906 nucleotides) under Escherichia coli. Its description in RNAcentral is "23S ribosomal RNA". It matches the Rfam family "Bacterial large subunit ribosomal RNA". Lineage: Bacteria; Pseudomonadati; Pseudomonadota; Gammaproteobacteria; Enterobacterales; Enterobacteriaceae. The record is from RNAcentral.